UAGGGAAUCUUCCGCAAUGGGCGAAAGCCUGACGGAGCAACGCCGCGUGAGUGAUGAAGGUCUUCGGAUCGUAAAACUCUGUUAUUAUGGAAUAACAAAUGUGUAAGUAACUAUGCACGUCUUUACGGUACCUAAUCAGAAAGCCACGGCUAACUACUUUCCAGCAGCCGCGGUACUACGUAGGUGGCAAGCGUUAUCCGGAAUUAUUGGGCGUAAAGCGCGCGUAGGCGGUUUUUUAAGUCUGAUGGGAAAGCCCAAGGCUGAACCGAGGAGGGUCAUUGGAAACUGGAAAACUUGAGUGCAGAAGAGGAAAGUGGAAUUCCAGGUGUAGCGGUGAAAUGCGCAGAGAUAUGGAGGAACAAAAGUGGCGAAGGCGACUUUCUGGUCUGUAACUGAAGCUGAUGAGCGAAAGAGUGGGGAACAAACAGG
This 429-nucleotide ribosomal RNA is filed under the name Actinomycetes bacterium. RNAcentral describes it as "Actinobacteria bacterium partial 16S ribosomal RNA". It matches the Rfam family "Bacterial small subunit ribosomal RNA", at positions 355 to 776 of the family's 1533-position model. The record is from RNAcentral. Lineage: Bacteria; Bacillati; Actinomycetota; Actinomycetes.